RNAcentral lists this long non-coding RNA (720 nucleotides) under Gallus gallus (chicken). The record is from RNAcentral. Lineage: Eukaryota; Metazoa; Chordata; Aves; Galliformes; Phasianidae.
GCUUAAGGCAUCUGAGCAGCUGCUUCAAGACUGAAUUUCAAAUUCCUUCUUUUUUUUUUCUUUGCUGUUCAGUCUACAAAAUAACUCCAAACAGGACUAGCAUUAAUCCUCAGAAAAGAAGAAAUGGGAACAGAAGUAACACCAUUUAUCUCUGUUGCUACCAGUUUCCAAACAGAGGCAUGGCUCUAUUUGAACACGAAUAGGAUCACAUCAUAGAUGGGUCAGAGACUGCUUCUAUCAUCCACUGCAAGAGAAGAGAGGAGAUCCCAGGAGCAGAAUAGAUGAUUCUUGAAACUGAGGCUAACAAAAACUAUAAAUCUGUACAGAGCAUAAAUCUCAGAGGGAGAUACAAAGAGGGCAAGUUGAUCACAGGAGAUCAGGACGCUUGUUUAAGGUUAUGUUAUUGAAGUAGUAAAUAAAAUCUGUUAUCUGAUGGUCGUACAAGUAGUGCAAGUGAAACCAAUCAGAUGCCUCACACAACACACUCAUAAACAUUUAUAGCCAACAAACUGUGCCUUUUGUGAACAAGACUGAGUGUUUCUCACCAUGAAAAAGGAUGUUUUCCAGAAAAUAUCUACAAUGUGGCAACACUUUGUUGUUCAUAUUAUGCCCAAUCAUCAGAAAAAUACUGUUAGCAGAUGCUUGAUUCUGUACAAUGAACCUUUUAUUCGUUACAGGCUUCUCUGAAGAUGCUCUAAGAAAAGUAUAAGUGACUGGGAU